GCUGUUGCUGUGGAUUUGAUUGACGUGAAACAUGUCGGUGUGGUGGUGGGAGCGAACCGGGAUGCAGCUGCUGGCAUGUGUGACGGGUAGAACCUGUACCCAAUCCACACAGCAUCACUUUUAAAAUGAUUAUACGAAGCUGCUUUAGUGUUAUUGAUCAGUUAUGAUUUUUAUUUUAAAUGAACAAACAGAACGCUGACUGGAUUUAUUAGAUAAGGCUUGGUCGGUUGUGUUCUGACUUGUAUUUCUGUUGAGGAGGUAUAGCCUAGGCUAUCUGCAUAAUGUGUUUGACGAUAUAGCCCUCAGCAUCAGUACCAGGCUCAAUCAGAAACACCUUGAUGAACCACAACCUGGAAUACAAGGACUAUUACAAUGAAGUCGACUUUCACAUAGAUCACAUCUCGUUUCUAAACCAGUGUAUAUAAUAGAUUAUAACACCACGUUGGCUGGCGUUUUGCAGGGUACUUUAUUACAUGGAGCUAUUUCCACCUUUUUGUCCCCGAGUAGAAUAUUUUUGUUGAAGUACACAUAAAAACGACCACUGCUCGCAAACUAUGGACGAGGAGAAUAUGACAAAAAGCGACGAGCAGCAUUUGAGUUUGCAAAAAGCUUUGCAGCAGUGCGAGUUGGUUCAAAAUAUGAUAGACAUAAGCAUUUCCAGCUUGGAGGGUUUGAGGACUAAAUGUGCCACAUCCAACGACUUGACUCAAAAAGAAAUACGAACGCUGGAGGGAAAGCUGGUGAAGUACUUCAGUCGCCAGCUGUCCUGUAAGGUGAGAGUGGCCUCACAGGAGGACAGCACUGAGCUACAGGACUUCCCCAGACUAGGACACUGGUUCCGCAUCGUCAACCUGAGGAAGGAGGUCACUGAGGAGAUGGAUCCGGGCGACGUGACUCUGGUGGGGCUGCUGGAGAUGAGUGAUGAGCAGGUGUGUGAGGCCAUGGAGAGGUUCGGAGCCAACAACGAGGAGUGUGCCCGGCUCAACGCCUCUCUGUCCUGCCUCAGGAAAGCCCACCAGUCAGAACAACUCGAGGAUGACUCAUUGCCCAAUAACGGAGCAGGCAGCCAUGCCAAGCAGGACUGGUCCAUCCAGUGGCCCACCUCCGAGUCUGGCAAGGAGAACAGUCCCUUCCCCUCUCCAGAACCCAGCCAGUGGGUCCGCUUCCAGCUCUCCCAAAGCCCCAUGGUCCAGGCAAAGUACAACCAGCAGCACCACAGCCAGUGCCACAGCCCCCAGUCAUUGCUACCCUAUCCGUACGGCCCCUAUGUCCAGCCAGACCGCCUCACCGUGGACAGCCACCUGGGACUGGGGGCCUUCCCCCCCAUGGACACGGGUCAUCGAUCCCUGCCACCCUCGCCCCGUCAGAGGCACUUUGCCCAUACCCCUCCCCGGACUCCACUGGUGGUGAACACCAUGACCCCCCCGGGCACGCCCCCCAUGAGGCGCAGAAACAAGGUGAAGGCCCCCGGGACGCCCCCACCCCCCAGCCGAAAGCUCAUCCACCUGCUGCCGGGCUUCACGGCGCUGCACCGCUCCAAGUCACACGAGUUCCAGCAGGGCAACCGCAUAGGCCUGGAGGCAGCUGACACGCAGACACUCAAAGUGGAGCAGAAGAAGUCCAAGCCUCAGCACCUGAAGAUCAACAGCAGUGUGGGGAGCUGUGAGAACCUCCCUACCCAACGCUCACCCCUCCACUCCUCUGACCAUCGCUCACUCCGUUCCUUCUUCUUCCCCACCUUCAUCCCCUCCACUCCCCCCGUCCACUCCGAUGCAAACACUCUGUCAGUGCCUCGCUGGUCCCCACAGAUCCCUCGGAGAGACCUGGGAAACUCCAUAAAACACAGGUUUUCCACCAAGUACUGGAUGUCUCAGACAUGCAUAGUGUGUGGAAAAGGAAUGUUGUUUGGACUUAAAUGUAAAAACUGCAAGCUGAAGUGCCACAACAAAUGUACCAAAGAAGCCCCACCUUGCCAUUUACUGAUCAUCCAAAGAGGAGGAGGAGGAGGAGGAAGUAACCCCCUCAAAGAUCACCAAGGAAAUCAAGCUCGUUUGGUACGGACUGAAUCGGUACCAUGUGACAUCAACAACCCGCUCAGGUACACAGACCUGCACAUCAGUCAGACGCUGCCCAAAACCAACAAAAUCAACAAGGAUCACAUCCCUGUCCCGUACCAGCCAGACUCCAGCAGUAACCCCUCCUCCACCACCUCCUCCACCCCUUCCUCACCCGCUCCACCCCUCCCUUCCAGUGCCACCCCUCCCUCCCCCCUACACCCCUCCCCACAGUCAGCACGGCAACAGAAACAGUUCAACUUCACAGCUUCUUCUUACUUCAAAUACAAGCAGCAGUUCAUCUUCCCAGACGUGGCCCCGGCACCAGAGGCCCCCAACAGAACACCCCAGGUCAUCCUUCACCCUGUCCUGUCUGAGCCUGGAAUCGAGGUGAACCCUUUAAAUCCUUUACUACAGAUUGAAGUUGAAGCGACAUCAGACAACGAGGAGGGCAACGACGAGGCGGAGUACUCGGAGGAUGAGUUUGAGGAGAUGAACCUGUCUCUGCUGUCGGCCCGUAACUUCCCCCGUAAAGCCAGCCAGACCUCCAUCUUUCUCCAGGAGUGGGACAUCCCCUUCGAACAGCUAGAGAUAGGGGAGCUCAUCGGGAAAGGUCGCUUCGGCCAAGUGUUCCACGGGCGCUGGCAUGGCGAGGUGGCCAUCCGCCUCAUCGACAUCGAGCGUGACAAUGAGGACCAGCUCAAGGCCUUCAAGAGGGAGGUGAUGGCCUACCGAAACACUCGGCAUGAGAAUGUGGUCCUCUUCAUGGGCGCCUGCAUGAGCCCUCCACACCUGGCCAUCAUCACCAGCUUGUGUAAGGGAAGGACUCUAUAUUCGGUGGUGAGGGAUGCCAAAGUCAUCCUGGAUGUCAACAAGACCAGACAGAUCGCCCAGGAGAUGGUUAAGGGGAUGGGCUAUCUCCACGCCAAGGGGAUCCUACACAAGGAUAUGAAGUCCAAGAAUGUCUUCUACGACAAUGGCAAAGUGGUCAUCACCGACUUCGGACUUUUCACCAUAUCUGGGGUUCUGCAAGCUGGCAGCCGUAGAGAGGACAAACUGAGAAUCCCCAGUGGAUGGCUUUGUCACCUGGCCCCUGAAAUAGUCUCUCAGCUCUCCCCUGAAACAGAGGAGGACAAGCUGCCUUUCUCCAAACAGUCAGAUGUCUUUGCUUUCGGCACUAUCUGGUACGAGUUGCAUGCACGUGAGUGGCCUUACAAGAACCAGCCAGCAGAGGUUAUCAUCUGGCAGGUGGGCAGUGGGAUGAAGCCCAACCUCACACAGAUCGGCAUGGGCAAAGAGGUAUCGGACAUCCUGCUCUUUUGCUGGGCGUUCGAGCAGGAUGAAAGGCCCAGCUUCUCCAAGCUGGUGGAUCUGCUGGAAAAGUUGCCAAAACGGAACCGUCGCCUUUCCCACCCAGGGCACUUCUGGAAGUCAGCUGAGUGCAGUUGACCAAGACCCCCUGAAUCUAGACUUCUCAACAUCCUCUGAAAUCACAUUUUUGGUUUAUUGUUUAAUCACAUGGAAUAUAUGUUUUAUUUGAUUAUUCGAUUGACCUGUUCAGUUUGUUUGUUAGCUUAUUUAUUUUGUCUUUUUCUCAAUGUCAUGUUUUUUUGUGUCAUGAUUCACUUAAUUAUCUAUGGAAAAUGCAUUUUUAUGAACAAAUGUGUGUUUUGUGUUUUCUUUUCGGACUGAAAUUGUUUUCAUAAUGAAAGUAAUUAUUUUACGAAUUGUGAAAUGUACAUUUUUAAGUCAUUGUCUUGCCAUUUCCCUUGUAUGUCAACUGUCUCUGUCAUGUGUUUGACCCUGGUUACCUCAUGGUCUCUCAUGUGUUUGACCCUGGUUACCUCAUGGUCUCUCAUGUGUUUGACCCUGGUUACCUCAUGGUCUCUCAUGUGUUUGACCCUGGUUACCUCAUGGUCUCUCAUGUGUGAAUGUCUACAUGUUUGUGUUUUCUACGUUUACUCAAAGCUUUUGUCUUAUAGGCAUUAUUUACUAUUGAAUGUGAUCCCUACUGCCAAUUGUAGGGCUGGAUGAUGGUACAGUACCUUGGUAGGAAACUGUUCUCCAAUUGGCCUGUGCUUUGAUUAUCAGCUGUGAACACUGUUGAGCAUGCAUCAAAAAAUGGCAUCCUGUUCCAUACAUGGUGCGCUACUAAGGUCAAAAGUAGUGCACUAGAUAGGGAAUAGAAUGUGAGCUGUUUAAACAACAGCCUUUUUUCCAAACUGUGCCCUUUGGCUGUUGGUUCAAUCAGUAGCGCCUACACUGACUGACUAGAAGUCUCUCACUCCAAUGUGAAAACGCUGACACUUGAAAUGUAUCUCAUUACAGUACCUACUAUGAACUUGCUUAAACACCUUGGAGAAUUGCUGUUACUGAGCCCAUGGGGAAAUAGGUGUAUAGUGGUUACUUUAUUGUUUUAAAGUGGACGAGGGUAAUCACAGAUGUACAGCUAGCUAAGCUCACUAUUUACCUCCAUUAAUUAUGACACAAUCGAUUUACUUCAGGAAUUCGUCAGCCCUAUAAUUGACAAAGCACUUUCUGAACAGACACCAUGAUACAGUAUAUUCUAGUAACAUGACUGUGUCCAUGACCUGGCCAUUUGUGUAAUAUAUUUCACUACGAUAUUUUAAAUAUAGCUAGCUAGAGCCCAGUCAGACUGAAUGAUAUCAUUAUGGAUGGAAAGAAGUGUCUCAGUAAGAACUGUAUAGCAACUGCUUUGCAGUCUGUACAGCCAUGUCUUAUAUAGAUGCAGACAAACCAGUCCUGUAUAUAGCCAUUUCUACUACACUAUAUUAUACAGUUUCCAACAGUGUUGGAAAUGCAUACAAACAAUUUGCUGCUGUUUUUUUGGAGUACAUCUGUCUAUUUUGGAUUUGCUGGGAUUCCGAUAUUGUACGUGGUAAUUUAUAUUUGUACUGUUUACAACUUCUAAGUGCAUGAAAUGGACUAUAAAGGAUCUAUUCUUGUUACUCCUUCAACUUUAUGGGGUGGCAGGCAGGUAGCCUAGUGGUUAGAACAAUGGGUCAGUAACCGAAAGGUCGCUGGCUCGAAUCCCCGCGCUGACAUGGUAAACGUCUGUCGUUCUGCCCCUGAGCAAGGCAGUUAACCCACUGUUCCCCGGGCGCCGAAGACAUGAAUGUUGAUUAUGGCAGCCCCCCGCACCUCUCUGAUUCAGAGGGGUUGGGUUAAAUGCAGAAGACACAUUUCAGUUGUACAACUGAUCACUGGGGUAUUUUCUGAUUGACCUGUUGUAAGCAUAGGGCCGUCAAACGAUACGGAUACAAUAGUUAUACUGCUGGCUUUGCAAAAAGGAAACGUUAAAAAAGGAUGUUUAAGAGAAUGAUUGUAAUAUUACGUUUAUACAUUAUAAUAGCCUAUCGUGAAGAGGAAUAACAGAUUGUGCUCAAUUCGACAAGAAUCUGACCAGAAAACGAUUCAACAUUUAGUGUCAAGUGUACAUAACAGAUUAUAGACCUACAAUCUUUAUCAUCAGUUGCUGUAAAUCAAUAUUACGGAAGCACUUUAUAAAAACUCCACGUAAUAAUGCAUUUAUAAGGAAUUUUAACAUAAUUUAUUCAUAAUGUAUUAAUCAUUACUUCCACAUUUGUAAAUGUUAUUAACCUAUUUAUUCACACAUUUAUAAACAACUUUUAAAGUAUUUCAUAAUGAUUUAUAAGAUCAUUCAAAAUAUGUUUAAUAUCGGUCCUUAUAAGCAUUUACUAAUCAUUAGUUAAGUCUUUUUUUAUAAAUACUUAAUAAACGUUUUGCAUGGCUAGUGUAAUUUCCAUCAAAAAGAUGGACAUGCCAUUGAGAGACAUUCCAGCAGUACCUGGUGCUCCUUAGGGUCUCAAAAUGUCCCCUAGAACACAUCAAUGGUUAAAAAAUCACACAAUACAGAGGAUGGUUAAGAAAAUAUAUUGGACAUGUUAUUCCAAAACAGUCACACUGUUGUAAUAGUGUGAUGUGGAACUUCAGAGUAAAAUAACGUCUUUAGUCCGAAAGUGCUAACAUAAGCGUUUCUUGGCCGUGACUUUUCUACCAAAACCAAAGUGUGAAUUUCAGUCUCUCCUUAGAGAAGUCUAAUCUCGGUUAACCCAGAACUAAAAUUGCAUGUAAUUUGGUCAGAAAUUGGGAGAACUACUGCUGCUCGUUAUCCUACACAUUCCAUCCCGUUGUCACAGAUUCCUCAGUGCAGGACCUGUCUACGAGAGAUUAAGAUUAGUCAAUAGACUGUUUGCAAAUAUCUGUAUACAUUAUUUGUCUUAACUAUCCCAUUACCUUACUACCUUUAAAGGUCCAGUAAAUGUGCCGCCAGACGAAGCCAUGUGUGAAAAUAGUGCAGUUAAAAGGCUAACGCACUGCCUCCCGAGUGUCGCAGCUGUCUAAGGCACUGCAUCGCAGUGCUAGAGGCAUUACUACAGGCCCGGGUUCAUUCCCGGGAGUACUCAAUUGUCAUACCCUUGAUGCAGUGGCGGUUCUAGCUUGUAUGGCUCCCUGGGCUCCCUGGGCUUCAGCGCGCCCCGCCAACAAACAAAAAAAAGCACCAUUCCACACUAACUGUAGUUUUUAUUCACACAUUUGGAACAACACAAAUAAAUAAUAAUAACAUUUGAGAUUAUAUAAAUAUACAAAUAUAUAGACAAAUAAGACUCAUAAAUAUCAAAAAGAAGUAACAAAGAUAAAUAGAAACAAAUUUGUGUUGAUUUGGCACUCGAGCAUCAAUACAUUACCCAUCCCCCAACACUGUCAACCAAGAGUCAAGACUAAACCAAUUCACCUUGGUGGUGUGCAGACUGGUUUUAUAUUAUCCUAAACGAUUUCGCACAAACCAGAAAAGAAUGCAACAGUAUGGCUGUGAAACUAUAUAUUCACAGUAUUAUGAAUGAAUUGUGGUUUAUUUGGUAGCAUUUCAUAGAGUGAUUUUACUAAUUGCAUUAGUAGUGUACAAAGUUAGAUGUGCGCUAUUUGAUAGAUUCCCCCGCUCUCGCUCCCCCACCUCGGGCUUCCAGUGGGGAGAUCUGAGGUCAACCUACACCCGCAUCCCUCCCCAUCUCGUACUUCUGAGUGGGAGACCUUCCCAGGAAGUAAGUAGCCUGCCUAGCUCACAAACUAGAAUCAGUGCGCCCACUCCGACAAGGUUAAUUGACCCACAGUCCCACACAGUGACAUGAUAUCAUUGAUGUGACGUGCAAAUGAGCAAUAGAAAACCGAUCUCGCAAAUGUCACCAAUCCGAAUUUUUGUGUGUGGGCGACUCGUGCCGCCUCCGGCAAGAUGCCACCCUGUGCGGCUGCCCAUGUCGCCUAUACCUCAAUCCGCCACUGCCCUGACUCAAGUAAAAGUGAAAGUCACACAGUAAAAUUCUACUUAAGUAAAAGUCUGAAAGUAUUUGUUUUUAAAUAUACUGAAGUAUCAAAAGUAAAUGUAAUUGCUAAAAUAUACUUAAUUAUCAAAAGUAAAAGUAUAAAUAAUUUCAAAUUCCUUAUAUGAAGCAAACCAGACGGCACCAUUUUCUUGUUUUUUACAUUUCCAUAUAGCCAGGGGCACGCUCCAACACAGACAUCGUUUACAAACAAAGCAUGUGUUUAGUGAGUCCGCUAGAUUAGAGGCCAUAGAGAUGACCAGGGAUGUCCUCUUGAUAAAUGCGUGAAUUAGACAAUUUUCUUGUCCUACUAAACAUUCAAACUGUAACAAGUACUUUGGGGUGUCAAGGAAAUUGUUUGGAGUAAAAAGUACAUCAUUUUCUUUAGGAAUCAAAUCAAAUCAAACUGUAUUUGUCACAUGCGCCGAAUACAAGUGUAGACCUUACUGUGAAAUGCUUACUUACAAGCCCUUAACCAAAAGUGCAGUUUAAGAAAGAAUAUAGUGAAGUAAAAGUAAAAGUUGUCAAAAAAAAACGACUUAAGUAGUCCUUUCAAGUAGUUUUACUUAAGUACAUUACACCACUGCCGGUGGGGCUUUACUUGUCUCAUCGCGCUCUAGCAACUCCUUGUGGCGGGCCAGGUGCCUGCGGGCUGAACCCCGUCGCCACUUGACCAGGUUUUCCUCCGACACAUUGGUGUGGCUGGCUUCCGGGUUAAGAUGGAGGGUGUUAAGGAGCGCGGUUAGGCGGGUUAUGUUUCGAAGAACUCAUGACUGCACUUUCGCCUCUUCCGAGCCGUUUGGGAGUAGCAGCGACGAGACAAGAUUGAAAAUUGUGGAGGAAAAGCGGGGUAUUUUUUUUGUUAUAAUCACUAAAGCACUGGAAGCAUUUCUACUUGCAAAUCAUACAUGUAACAUUUCUACCACAAUCACAUAUCAGUAGUAAUGGAGGAAUAAAAAUCCACUAGAGAAAAACUGUUCGGUCAGGCCAGCUGUUGUUUGUAGGCUACAUCUCCCUGCUACAUCUCCCUGUUUUAUGAUUAGUUUGUGUUCGCAAGGUUGACAACAUUAGCUCAUUAACUCUUCGUUAAGUCUUUGCAACCGUUGCUUUUGUGAAUAAAAUGUUCCAUAUAUUUCCUUUAACAUCCUGUGUUGUGUGCUUAUUAUUUUACCAUUGAUAAGUUCUAGGCUAUUUUGAGACCUUAAGGAGGAUCAGGUACUGCUGGAAUGUCCUCCAAUGGCAUGUCCAUCUUUUUGUGAGAAAUUACACUGGUCACUCAGAACAUUUGUAAAGUAUUUAUAAAGUAUAAAUAGCCUACACUUUUGACAAGGUCACACAAAAUACUUACCUAAUGAUCAGUAAACGGUUUGUAAGGACCUAUAUUAAACAUCUUAUGACUGGAGUAAUGAUUAAUAAAUGAUGAAUAAACUAUUUACCAACCAUUAGAAAUGCUUUAUUAUGUGGAGAUAUUCUAAAGUGGUACCAAUAUUCCAUGUGAACUAACUUAAGCAGUUUUGGUGUACAGGAUUUUUGGCUUACUUUAUGAAUUGUGUUGUUGAUUUUGUCUUAUUUUUUGUUAAUUCAGAUGUAUUUUUCUCCAUAUACCUUCUUAUAUUACGUAAUCAUUGAUGCUGUGUUUCUUUUCUGAUUCAGUCCUUGUAUUGUAGAGUAUAGCUCCAAAAGCUUGUAUUUAUCGAUGCUUUAUGGUCCAUGGCUUAGUGACGGGUAGAUUCAUCAGAAGCCAUGUGUGAAAAUAGUGCGGUUCAAAGGCGUAAGCACUGCCUCCUGAGUGGCGCAGCUGUCUACAGACCCGGGUUCAUUCCCGGGGUAUGCCACACCCGGCUGUGGCCUGGAGUCCCAUAGGAUGGCCACAAUUGGCCCAGAGUCAUCCGGGUUAGGGAAGGUUUUGGCCGGUGGGCAGUGGUGGAAAAAGUACCUAAUUGUCAUACUUGAGUAAAAGUAAAAAUACCUUAAUAGAAAUUGACUCAAGUAAAAGUGAAAGUCACACAGUAAAAUCCUACUUGAGUAAAAGUCUAAAAGUAUUUGGUUUUAAAUAUACUUAAGUAUCAAAAGUAAAUGUAAUUGAUGAAAUAUACUUAAGUGUCAAAGUAAAAUAAUAAAUCAUUUAAAAUUCCUUAUAUUAAGCAAACCAGACGGCAACAUUUUCUUGUUUCUUAAAUGUACGGAUAGCCAGGGGCACGCUCCAACACUCAGACAUAAUUUGUGUCAAGGAAAUUGUAUGAAGUAAAUAGUACAUAAUUUUCUUCAGGAAUCAAAUCAAAUCAAACUUUAUUUUUCACAUGCGCCGAAUACAACAAGUGUAGACCUUACCGUGAAAUGUUUAUUUACAAGCCCUUAACAUAACAGUGCAGUUCAAGAAAGAAUGUAGUGAAGUAAAAGUAAAAGUUGUAAAAAAAUAUAAAUAGUACGGUAAAGUACAGAUACCCCAAAAAACUACUUAAGUAGUACUUUCAAGUAAUUUUAUUUAAGUGCGUUACACCACUGCGGGUGGGUCUUUACUUGGCUCAUCGCGUUGUAGCGACUCCUUGUGAACAGUGUUUCCUCAGACACAUUGGUGCGGCUGGCUUCCGGGUUAAGCUGGCGGGUGAUAAGGAGUGCGGUUAGGCGGGUUAUGCUUCGGAGGACGCAUGACUCCACCUCUCCCGAGGCCGUUGGAGAGUAGCAGCGAUGAGACAAGAUCGAAAAUUGGGUAGGAAAAGGGGGCUAAAAAAAUCAUUAAAAUUUAAAUAAAGAAAAAACACUAAAGCACUGGAAGCAUUUCUACUUGCAAAUUUCUACUUGCAAAUCAUACAUGUAACAUUUCUACCGCAAUCACAUAUCAGUAGUAAUGGAGGAAUAAAAAUCCACUAGAGAAAAACUGUUCGGUCAGGCCAGCUGUUGUUUGUAGGCUACAUCUCCCUGUUUAAUGAUUAGUUUGUGUUCGCAAGGUUGACAACAUUAGCUCAUUAACUCUUCGUUAAGUCCUUGCAACAGUUGCUUUUGUGAAUAAAAUGUUCAAUAUAUUUCCUUUAACAUCCUGUGUUGUGUGCUUAUUCUUUUACCAUUGAUAUGUUCUAGGCUAUUUUGAGACCUUAAGGAGGAUCGGGUACUGCUGGAAUGUCCUCCAAUGGCAUGUCCAUCUUUUUGUGAGAAAUUACACUGGUCACUCAGAACAUUGGUAAAGUAUUUAUAAAGUUUAAAUAGCCCACACGUUAGAGAAGGUCACACAAAAUACUUAACUAAUGAUUAGUAAAUGGUUUGUAAGGACCUAUAUUAAACAUCUUAUGACUGGAGUAAUGAUUAAUACAUGAUAAAUAAACAAUUUACCAAGCAUUAGAAAUGCUUUAUUAUGUGUAGUUAUUAUGAAGUGGUACCAAUAUUCCAUGUGAAAUCAGCAGUUUUGGUGUACAGGAUUGUUGGCUUACUUUAUGAAUUGUGUUGUGAUUUUGUCUUAUUUUUUUAUUAAUUCAGAUGUAUUUUUCUCCGUAUACCUUCCUAUAUUACAUAAGCAUUGAUGCUGUGUUUCUUUUCUGAUUCAGUCCUUGUAUUGUAGAGUAUAGCUCCAAAAGCUUGUAUUUACCGAUGCCUUACGGUCCAUGGCUUAGUGACGGGUAGAUUCAUCAGAAGCUUUUUAUUUGCUCUCAUCCUCAACGAAAAAUGUAUGACAAUAAAAAUAUGUUUUCAUUUUGGA
Molecule: RNA transcript, 11105 nt
Organism: Salvelinus fontinalis (brook trout)
Lineage: Eukaryota; Metazoa; Chordata; Actinopteri; Salmoniformes; Salmonidae
Gene: ksr2
Gene name: kinase suppressor of ras 2
Exons: 24
Source: RefSeq, a predicted model, not a curated record